GACGGAGGAUGCAAGUGUUAUCCGGAAUCACUGGGCGUAAAGCGUCUGUAGGUGGUUUCAAAAGUCUACGGUUAAAAAUUGAAGCUUAACUUCAAAGAUGCCGUGGAAACUUUGAAACUCGAGGAUGGUAGGGGUAGAGGGAAUUUCCAGUGGAGCGGUGAAAUGCGUAGAUAUUGGAAAGACCACCAAUGGCGAAGGCACUCUACUGGGCCAUGACUGACACUGAGAGACGAAAGCUAGGGGAGCAAAUGGG
This 253-nucleotide ribosomal RNA is filed under the name uncultured bacterium. RNAcentral's name for it is "partial 16S ribosomal RNA". It matches the Rfam family "Bacterial small subunit ribosomal RNA", at positions 524 to 776 of the family's 1533-position model. The record is from RNAcentral.